GAUGAACGCUGGCGGCGUGCCUAAUACAUGCAAGUCGAGCGAACGGACGAGAAGCUUGCUUCUCUGAUGUUAGCGGCGGACGGGUGAGUAACACGUGGAUAACCUACCUAUAAGACUGGGAUAACUUCGGGAAACCGGAGCUAAUACCGGAGAAUAUUUUGAACCGCAUGGUUCAAAAGUGAAAGACGGUCUUGCUGUCACUUAUAGAUGGAUCCGCGCUGCAUUAGCUAGUUGGUAAGGUAACGGCUUACCAAGGCAACGAUGCAUAGCCGACCUGGGAGGGGGAUCGGCCACACUGGAACUGAGACACGGUCCAGACUCCUACGGGAGGCAGCAGUAGGGAAUCUUCCGCAAUGGGCGAAAGCCUGACGGAGCAACGCCGCGUGAGUGAUGAAGGUCUUCGGAUCGUAAAACUCUGUUAUUAGGGAAGAACAUAUGUGUAAGUAACUGUGCACAUCUUGACGGUACCUAAUCAGAAAGCCACGGCUAACUACGUG
Molecule: ribosomal RNA, 497 nt
Filed under: uncultured bacterium
Lineage: Bacteria
Description: partial 16S ribosomal RNA
Rfam family: Bacterial small subunit ribosomal RNA
Source: RNAcentral